AUACGUAGGUGGCAAGCGUUGUCCGGAUUUACUGGGUGUAAAGGGGGCGCAGGCGGGAAGCUAAGUUGGAUGUGAAAUACCGGGGCUCAACUCCGGAGCUGCAUCCAAAACUGGUUUUCUUGAGUGGAGUAGAGGCAAGCGGAAUUCCGAGUGUAGCGGCGAAAUGCGUAGAUAUUCGGAGGAACACCGGUGGCGAAGGCGGCUUGCUGGGCUCUAACUGAGGCUGAGGCCCGAAAGCGUGGGGAGCAAACAGGAUUAGAUGCCCUGGUAGUCCACGCCGUAAACGAUGAUUACUAGGUGUGGGGGGUCUGACCCCUUCCGUGCCGCAGUUAACGCAAUAAGUAAUCCACCUGGGGAGUACGGCCGCAAGGCUGAAACUCAAAGGAAUUGACGGGG
Molecule: ribosomal RNA, 396 nt
Filed under: uncultured bacterium
Lineage: Bacteria
Description: partial 16S ribosomal RNA
Rfam family: Bacterial small subunit ribosomal RNA
Source: RNAcentral